RNAcentral lists this ribosomal RNA (301 nucleotides) under uncultured bacterium. RNAcentral's name for it is "partial 16S ribosomal RNA". It matches the Rfam family "Bacterial small subunit ribosomal RNA", at positions 509 to 807 of the family's 1533-position model. The record is from RNAcentral.
CAGUAGCCACGGGAAUACGAAGGGGGCUAGCGUUGUUCGGAAUCACUGGGCGUAAAGCGCACGUAGGCGGACUUUUAAGUCAGGGGUGAAAUCCCAAGGCUCAACCCUGGAACUGCCUUUGAUACUGUCGAUCUGGAGUAUGGAAGAGGUGAGUGGAAUUCCGAGUGUAGAGGUGAAAUUCGUAGAUAUUCGGAGGAACACCAGUGGCGAAGGCGGCUCACUGGUCCAUUACUGACGCUGAGGUGCGAAAGCGUGGGGAGCAAACAGGAUUAGAUACCCCUGUAGUCCCUGUCUCUUAUAC